UACGUAGGGGCCGAGCGUUGUCCGGAGUUAUUGGGCGUAAAGCGCGCGCAGGCGGCUUGACGCGCCCGACGUGAAAGCCCCCGGCUUAACCGGGGAGGGUCGUCGGGUACGGUCAGGCUUGAGGGCGGGAGAGGGUGGUGGAAUUCCCGGUGUAGUGGUGAAAUGCGUAGAGAUCGGGAGGAACACCUGUGGCGAAGGCGGCCACCUGGGCCGAACCUGACGCUGAGGCGCGAAGGCGUGGGGAGCGAACGGG
RNAcentral lists this ribosomal RNA (253 nucleotides) under uncultured bacterium. RNAcentral's name for it is "partial 16S ribosomal RNA". It matches the Rfam family "Bacterial small subunit ribosomal RNA", at positions 524 to 776 of the family's 1533-position model. The record is from RNAcentral.